Molecule: ribosomal RNA, 528 nt
Filed under: uncultured bacterium
Lineage: Bacteria
Description: bacterial SSU rRNA
Rfam family: Bacterial small subunit ribosomal RNA
Source: RNAcentral
AGCGAAUAGAUACCCCGGUAGUCCACGCCCUAAACGAUGUCGACUAGGUGUUCGGUGAGGAGACUCAUUGAGUACCGCAGCUAACGCGUGAAGUCGACCGCCUGGGGAGUACGGUCGCAAGAUUAAAACUCAAAGGAAUUGACGGGGACCCGCACAAGCGGUGGAUGAUGUGGAUUAAUUCGAUGCAACGCGAAAACCUUACCUACCCUUGACAUGUACGGAACCCUGCUGAGAGGUGGGGUGCUCGAAAGAGAGCCGUAACACAGGUGCUGCAUGGCUGUCGUCAGCUCGUGUCGUGAGAUGUUGGGUUAAGUCCCGCAACGAGCGCAACCCUUGUCAUUAGUUGCUACGCAAGAGCACUCUAAUGAGACUGCCGGUGACAAACCGGAGGAAGGUGGGGAUGACGUCAAGUCCUCAUGGCCCUUAUGGGUAGGGCUUCACACGUCAUACAAUGGUCGGUACAGAGGGUUGCCAAGCCGCGAGGUGGAGCCAAUCCCAGAAAGCCGAUCGUAGUCCGGAUCGCAGUCU